This is a long non-coding RNA of Mauremys reevesii (Reeves's turtle), 590 nucleotides long. RefSeq lists it as uncharacterized. Lineage: Eukaryota; Metazoa; Chordata; Testudines; Geoemydidae. The transcript has 3 exons. The record is from RefSeq and is a predicted model, not a curated record.
UGCACAGUUAGAACAGACGCGCCGCUCACUAUCCGGCACCAGAACAUUUCCACGCUGCCUUUCCCCCGCCCCACAGAACGCAGCCCUGGCUCGCUGAGCGAUCUACCUUCCCAUUGGCCACACUGGGUGACGUGUUGCUGCCGAACCUCCCUAAUAAACAGCUCAUUGGGCCAUGGUGGCUGCUGGUUCGUGAGUGGCUGCGCUAAUGGCCAAUCAGCGCUAUCCUGGGGGUGGGUGGGUGUGACUGACCGUGCGGCGCCGGUUGUUCGAACCUGAGCGCUGGGGAAGGGAGCGGGGACCCGGCAGCCCCGGGCGCUCCGGUGAGUGUGGGGCGGGGCGAGGAGUCGGGCACCGCCUCCACCUCAGCAGAAGCAGUAAGCGGAGUUGACAGGGGAGCCGUGGCGGGCGAUUUGCAGCCGUGAGGACAGCUAGGAAAUGGAGGAAAAAAACCUUCUUCGCUGCCAGUCUGAUCAAAAAUCUCAAGAAAUCCAUCAGCUGCAAGAAGAACUGAAAACAGCUAAACAGUUUCUGAAGGAGACCCAGAAUUAUGCGGAAGAGAUGAAAACCUGGAAGCCUCUUUCAACCAGGAA